GACGAACGCUGGCGGCGUGCUUAACACAUGCAAGUCGAACGGAAAGGCCCUGCUUUUGUGGGGUGCUCGAGUGGCGAACGGGUGAGAAACACGUGAGUAACCUGCCCUUGACCUUGGGAUAACUUCAGGAAACUGGGGCUAAUACCGGAUAGGAGCUCCUGCUGCAUGGUGGGGGUUGGAAAGUUUCGGCGGUUGGGGAUGGACUCGCGGCUUAUCAGCUUGUUGGUGGGGUAGUGGCUUACCAAGGCUUUGACGGGUAGCCGGCCUGAGAGGGUGACCGGCCACAUUGGGACUGAGAUACGGCCCAGACUCCUACGGGAGGCAGCAGUGGGGAAUAUUGCACAAUGGGCGGAAGCCUGAUGCAGCAACGCCGCGUGCGGGAUGACGGCCUUCGGGUUGUAAACCGCUUUCGCCUGUGACGAAGCGUGAGUGACGGUAAUGGGUAAAGAAGCACCGGCUAACUACGUG
RNAcentral lists this ribosomal RNA (468 nucleotides) under uncultured bacterium. RNAcentral describes it as "partial 16S ribosomal RNA". It matches the Rfam family "Bacterial small subunit ribosomal RNA", at positions 28 to 507 of the family's 1533-position model. The record is from RNAcentral.